CUUGACUCCGCAGGAGCCGCCCCCAGCUCGCGUCUGUCCUAAAGGCUCCGGCAGGGCCAGGUAGCCUGUGGGGUGACGUGCCCGGAGAGCCUUCCACGGCUCGUGCGUGAUCCUGGCGCAAGCCAGCUGCGAGUGUCCCCAGGGCUGCUGAAUCCACAGCGCCCGAGGCAGCGGACCAGCCCGGUGACCCCCGGCCGCGCGUGGGACCGGCAAACCCUGAAUGCAGGAACUUCACCCUCCUUCUUUCCGGCUACAGGGUACAGAGCGUCUGUGCGGUGGCGGGCUGCUCUGAGGUGACUCAGCAGAGCCCCGAGAGCCUGGCCCUGCCAUCUGUCCUGGACACCCUUCCCUUGCUUGGUUUUGGGAGGAGGUCAGGGGUUGGCAGGGACUCUCAAACCCAUAGCACUUCCCUUUUACAGAUCUUUUCUGCGCACUUAGUGGAGGGGGAGGGAGGAGUUGACUGAGGGCAUGGGCAGAAAGAGUCAUAGGUUCCUCCCCUACUCUUCCUCUCUUGAGAGCUCAGAUUAUUCUGGAUGCUUGUAGCGGGAGGUCGUGGGGUGGUGCGCCCUCCGGGGCGAGGGUUGUCAUGCAUGCUCUGCAGAGACUAGAGUGGCGUGGGCUACCGUUGACUGGACUUCACCUGUGCAAAGUGAGCAGUCGUGGCGGAGCCUUUGCCUCCUAGGCUCUUUGUCCUGAUUUAAUUGCCCCUUGAGCACUGCCCAUACUGGGCCCUUGGGUCUUCUUGUCCUGAUGUAAGGAACAUGUCUUUCUUUCAGUGGACCUAGGCCCAUGGAGAGCAGCACCUAGAAAUGGCUAUUUCUGUUAAACUUCUUUUUCUCCCAAGUGAGAAAUUUCUAAUUCUCAAAUUUCCCGCAUUGUAUGUGAGCAGGGGUUCUUAAUCUAGUUAACUCUCUUUCGUUCUGAAGUUUUUCCAGGUCUGUGGGCAGGCGUUGAAGUUCUGACCACCUAGCCGACUCCUAACAGUUAGAGCUCCACGUCUGGUCGAAGAACCAUCCUUGGAGGUUUUUCCGUUCUUACUGUGGCUUGAAGGUCUUUUUUUCUGGGGUAGUUUCAUCAGUUGGAAGUUAAAAUCAGUGUGAGCUCUACCUCCGAACAGGGACUGAAAGCGGAGGGAGAACUUGUGGGUUUUCAAAUGUGACGCCGCUGAGCUCUGUGGAGCUCAGGAGGAGGAGGACAGUCUGCCUUUCAGCCAGACAUCCCUCGCCUGCUGCCCCUCAUGGUCACUACUUUCUAUUCAAACAGGCCCACCUCCCUUCGGGGGUAGACUUGUAAUGACUCGGGUGUGGGUAUUGUGUUGGAUUGUAUUUAAACGUUGACACUAAUGGGGGCAGUGUAGUGCCACCGGUAGUGGGAGUGAUUGGUAGGAAUAAUCCAGCGCUUGAUCCCCCAAAUCUGCCUCACGUUGAAAGGGAAGAAACAGUCCGGACAAUAGGAAUAAUGUGGCUAUGUAGGUGUGUUUACAGGCCUCGGACAAGAGUUACUGUGAGGGCCUGAGACACCUUUCCCAGUGGAACAGGCUUGUAAAGAGCAGGAACAUGAGAUCCACAACCCUCAGGAGUCUUUUCUGAACACGGGCAUUGGCAUGACCAAGGCUGACCUCAUAAUAACUUGGGAACCAUUGCUAGGUCUGGCACGAAGUGUUGACAGAGACUGUCUAGGUGUGUGGCCUUUGACUGAUAUUAUGAAUGGUUAGUUUUUUUGUAAUCUGUUUGGCUGGUGUGUGUGGUGGCUUUUUAGGGUGAGCACACAUGAAAGUGAGAGAACAGCUGUGAAAACUAGGUUCUGGAACUGAAUGGUUGAUUGUUAUAAUUGCUCAGCAAGAACUUUUCCUUGUGCAGAACCAUUUUGCUUUCUCUCUGUUAACUUUCAAAACCCCACGGAAGGCUGCUGCAGGCUUUUACAUGAUUGGACAGCUCUGUGUUGGAUUCGGUUCUGUCUCUGGUGACAGAAAACAUGGUGUGGUCACAAGCAUGAUGCUAAUGAGCAGUAUGCCAUGGAGUUAUCUCCUGGUCAGUCCUUCACAGGCUGUGUAGACCAUGGUGAGUUAGCUCUCUACAGUGUGGUGCUUGGUAGAAUUCUCUGAGUGAAGUAAGUUAGAAGUCUUGAGGAUUAUAUUUUAGAGUGCUCUGUCUUUGUCCAGUUAGUUACAGUUUUGAUGAUUCAUGCCUGUAGAGGUGAGCCCACUGGCCAGGAUGCAAAAGUGAUCCUUCAUCUCAUAAAAGACCAGGCAGAAUGCACAAAGGAGAGGAGGGUCAAGGAAGCUGUGACGACACAGUUAAUAGACUCUUCCCAGCAUUCUCUGUGUGAAUAUAGGCUUGGCAGCCUUCGAGCAGGCUGUUGUGUUGGCUCAUGGCCUUUGGCUAUGCUGGUACUGAGUUCUCCACAACUCAUUAUGUCAUUUGGUGACUUAGGUGGAGAAGGAAGGAGAGAAGGAGAUCAGUAAAGAUGAUAAAGAGGAGAACAUAAGGAUGAUGAGGAGAAGCUUAAGACUGAAGAUGUGGGAACAGAUGAGGAGGACAGUGGCAAAGAUAAGACAAAGAAAACCAAGGAGCACCUCUUUGGGGAAGGCCACUUGGAAUUCAUGGCAUUGCUCUUCAUUUCCUGACAAGCUCUCUUUGACCUUGUUAAGAACAAGGAGAGCAGCACCAAACUGCAUGUCUGUCAUGAGUUCAACAUGGAGAGCUACAAGAAGCUGAUAACAGAGUGCCUCAAAAACAAAGGCUCUCCUCACCUACUGUCUGUAGUACAGGCAAACACUUACUUAACAGAUCUUCAGCACACAGCUGAGACUGUCUUUAAUCCAGAUAAUAACAUUCUUAUCUCCCCAAACCUGCGCUUGGCUGGGUUGCUUAAAUGUGGUCACCAGACCAGGUCUAAACCAACUGUCUUGGGCUUUCUGCUCUGGCUGACUGUUGUCUUUAUCUGUGGCAUGGCUGACUUCUAGGAUAUGUCGCUGAAAAUCUCCAGGGAAUUGUUCCAGCAGAGCAAGAUCCUGAAAGUCAUCAACAGAAGCAUUGUGAAGAAGAGUUGUCAGAAGACAACUCAUUAUGAAGAACAGUUGUCUUCUGAGUUGUCAGAAGACAAAGAGAAGUGAAAGAAAUUCUUGGAGGUGUUCACGAAUUUCAAGGUUGGAAUCCAUAAACACUUCACUAAGUGGCAGCACCUGUCUGCGUUCCUCUGCUAACCCACCUCUCUGUGAUAACAUCCCUGUCAGAGAACGUGUCUCAUGUGAAGGAAACACAGAAGUCCAUCUACUAUAGGUCUGGUGUGUUCCAACUUGGCUCUGAUCAAAGCUGCCUUGCAGCAUGUGAAAUGAAGGAAGGACCGACACAUCAAGACCUGCUUUCAGUCACUGAGUCAUAGUUUAUAAUGAAUCCUUUAGGUGAGAGCCAACUUUACCUUUGUGGGGCGUGAGCGGAAGCCAGGCUCUGAAAUGGUGUGUGUGACUGAGUCUGCAUGCAGCAACUCACAGGGCUUCAUGGAAAGAGCCUGGCCAUGGCGACUAAGGAGGGUCUGGAAAGACCAGAGAAUGAGUAAGAGAAGAAAAUGGAUGAGAGAGCAAGGCAAAGUUUCAGAGUCUCUGCGAUCUCAUGAAGGAGCUCUUGGAGAAAAAGGUUGAGAUGGGGACAGUCUCCAUUAGGCUUGUGUCUUCUCCCUGCUGCAUUGGGACAAGCAGCUAUAGCUAGACAGCCAACGUGAAACAGAUGAUGAAGACCCAGUUACUUCCAGACAACUCUACAGUGGGACGCAUCAUGGUCACCAACACCCAGAGGCCAGUCAUGCUCACCCCAUUGUGGAGGCUUUGGCAGCAAAAUAAAGAAGAUGCAGUUUUAUACAGUCCGGCUCUCCUUGUAAAGUAACACUCAGGGCACUGUGAACUUCUCCUGGGUUGUGUUGGGAGAUGAUGACAAGGCUCUUGUCCUCUCUCUUGAACUCAGGGUGCCGCCCUUUGAGCCUCCUUCAUCCAGUCAAGAUGCAGAGUCAAUUCAUUGCUGCAGAUUAGUCAAGUAAGAGCACUAGGUGACAUUUCCAAGUAUGAAAUUUGUUCAAGGAACACAGAGUCCCUAACGGGGCUGGGAAGAUUUGCUCCCUUCUGAAACUGUACCAUUUUUACUCCCAAGAGAAGCCACAUUAGGGUCAGUAAA
Long non-coding RNA from Psammomys obesus (fat sand rat), 4166 nucleotides. RefSeq lists it as uncharacterized. The record is from RefSeq and is a predicted model, not a curated record. Lineage: Eukaryota; Metazoa; Chordata; Mammalia; Rodentia; Muridae. The transcript is spliced from 4 exons.